RNAcentral lists this transfer RNA (68 nucleotides) under Marmota monax (woodchuck). RNAcentral's name for it is "tRNA.Ala". The stretch from base 4 to 62 matches the Rfam family "tRNA", at positions 7 to 64 of the family's 71-position model. From Rfam's summary of the family: Transfer RNA (tRNA) molecules are approximately 80 nucleotides in length. Their secondary structure includes four short double-helical elements and three loops (D, anti-codon, and T loops). Further hydrogen bonds mediate the characteristic L-shaped molecular structure. tRNAs have two regions of fundamental functional importance: the anti-codon, which is responsible for specific mRNA codon recognition, and the 3' end, to which the tRNAs corresponding amino acid is attached (by aminoacyl-tRNA synthetases). tRNAs cope with the degeneracy of the genetic code in two manners: having more than one tRNA (with a specific anti-codon) for a particular amino acid; and 'wobble' base-pairing, i.e. permitting non-standard base-pairing at the 3rd anti-codon position. The record is from RNAcentral. Lineage: Eukaryota; Metazoa; Chordata; Mammalia; Rodentia; Sciuridae.
GUCGUAGCUCAGUGGUAGAGCGCUUGCCUAGCACGUGUGAGGCACUGUGUUCAAUUCUCAGCACCACA